RNAcentral lists this ribosomal RNA (898 nucleotides) under Arthrobacter sp. H2R6_pA. RNAcentral describes it as "bacterial SSU rRNA". It matches the Rfam family "Bacterial small subunit ribosomal RNA", at positions 8 to 916 of the family's 1533-position model. Lineage: Bacteria; Bacillati; Actinomycetota; Actinomycetes; Micrococcales; Micrococcaceae. The record is from RNAcentral.
AGAGUUUGAUCCUGGCUCAGGAUGAACGCUGGCGGCGUGCUUAACACAUGCAAGUCGAACGAUGAUCUCCAGCUUGCUGGGGGGAUUAGUGGCGAACGGGUGAGUAACACGUGAGUAACCUGCCCUUGACUCUGGGAUAAGCCUGGGAAACUGGGUCUAAUACCGGAUACGACCGUCCCGCGCAUGCGGUGGUGGUGGAAAGCUUUUGCGGUUUUGGAUGGACUCGCGGCCUAUCAGCUUGUUGGUGGGGUAAUGGCCUACCAAGGCGACGACGGGUAGCCGGCCUGAGAGGGUGACCGGCCACACUGGGACUGAGACACGGCCCAGACUCCUACGGGAGGCAGCAGUGGGGAAUAUUGCACAAUGGGCGAAAGCCUGAUGCAGCGACGCCGCGUGAGGGAUGACGGCCUUCGGGUUGUAAACCUCUUUCAGUAGGGAAGAAGCGAAAGUGACGGUACCUGCAGAAGAAGCGCCGGCUAACUACGUGCCAGCAGCCGCGGUAAUACGUAGGGCGCAAGCGUUAUCCGGAAUUAUUGGGCGUAAAGAGCUCGUAGGCGGUUUGUCGCGUCUGCUGUGAAAGACCGGGGCUCAACUCCGGUUCUGCAGUGGGUACGGGCAGACUAGAGUGAUGUAGGGGAGACUGGAAUUCCUGGUGUAGCGGUGAAAUGCGCAGAUAUCAGGAGGAACACCGAUGGCGAAGGCAGGUCUCUGGGCAUUAACUGACGCUGAGGAGCGAAAGCAUGGGGAGCGAACAGGAUUAGAUACCCUGGUAGUCCAUGCCGUAAACGUUGGGCACUAGGUGUGGGGGACAUUCCACGUUUUCCGCGCCGUAGCUAACGCAUUAAGUGCCCCGCCUGGGGAGUACGGCCGCAAGGCUAAAACUCAAAGGAAUUGACGG